Saccostrea echinata is the source of this 431-nucleotide long non-coding RNA. RefSeq lists it as uncharacterized. The transcript is spliced from 3 exons. NCBI's taxonomy places the organism in Eukaryota, Metazoa, Mollusca, Bivalvia, Ostreida, Ostreidae. The record is from RefSeq and is a predicted model, not a curated record.
ACACAUAUUGUUGGAGAUGCAGCAUAUCCACUGCAAAGUUGGGUUUUAACACCGUAUAAAGAUACGGGGAAUCUGGCAGAGUGUCAGAAAAGAUAUAACUUCAUACAUGCCAACACUCGUCAAACGAUUGAAAGAGCCUUUGGUUUGUUGAAAGGAAAAUGGAGGAGGCUGAGAUUCCUGGAAAUGACCAAACUUGAAGAUGUCCCAAGUGUUAUAACAGCAGCCUGUACACUUCACAAUAUGUGCAUAGAGAACAAUGAGAAUGACCUGGACAUGUGCAGUGAUGCCAGUAUCUUUCCUGAUGCUCCAGCUGUGAGUGAGCCUUUGAACCAGAGUGGAUCAGUAAAACGGAAUGCCCUAGCCCAGUAUUUCUGGUCUACCAACCGAUAUUAAAUUCAACGAAAUAAAGAAAACAAUGCUAAAUUUACAAA